RNAcentral lists this ribosomal RNA (421 nucleotides) under uncultured archaeon. Its description in RNAcentral is "partial 16S ribosomal RNA". It matches the Rfam family "Archaeal small subunit ribosomal RNA", at positions 323 to 746 of the family's 1478-position model. The record is from RNAcentral.
CUACGGGAGGCUCCAGUUAGGAAUAUUCUUCAAUGCGCGAAAGCGUGAAAGAUUGAACCAGAGUGUCCCACAAUUGUGGGACUUUUGCCAAAUGUAAAAAGUUUGGCGAAUAAGGACUGGGUAAGACGAGUGCCAGCCGCCGCGGUAAUACUCGCGGUCCAAGUCGCAGCCACAUUUAUUAGGUCUAAAACAUCCGUAGCUUGCUCGGUAAGCUCCUUGUGAAAUCCUGCAUCUCAAGUGCAGGGCGUGCAAGAAAUACUGCCGGGCUAGAGACUGGGAGACGUAAUCAGUACGGGUAAAGUAACGGUAAAAUGUGUUAAUCUUACCCGGACUCACAAUAGCGAAGGCAGGUUACGAGAACAGUUCUGACAGUAAGGGAUGAAGGCUCGGGGCGCAAAACGGAUUAGAUACCCGAGUAGUC